ACACAUCCUAAUGUAACCCUAUGUGGCCUCGUUCAAUUAGCGUCCUAGCCUCUGCCCUGCUGAUUUUAACACAGAUCUGAACAUUGGAUUACUAGUUUUGACUUCUGGGACUUGCUACAAAGUUUGGGUGAGAUACUUGAGAGGAGGAGGAGGAGGAGGAGGAAGACUUUCCCACAGCAGCUGCAGGGGACAGUUUGCAUUCAGCCACACAUUAGACCUCUUCACACGUGCAGCCAAUUUGGGAGCCCACCUGCAGUCGUCUUUGUGCAGGUCUUUUAAGUUGGAAUGGAUGUUACUGCAUCCACUAGAGGGCGCUUGAACAAACCGGUCUCACAUGGACUUCCACUUCUGCUGCCGUCCAACUGGCAUCCAUCCCAUCCAAUCUCCACCCAGAUGUUCUGUUGUUUGGACGAUUCGGUAAAAGGAAGGACUGUGAGGGGGGGCAGGAGGAGAUGGGACACACGAAGCAAAGCAGGAAGUGGAGGAGGACAAAGAAGAACAGAGGAGACAAAGAGAGACAGUGGAAGGAAAGAGGGUUUCUUCAGUGUCUGCGAGCUGCUCUCUCUUCUCCUGCCGUCUCUUUGAUGCCGUGUUGAUGCAGAGACCCCCUGCUGCUCAGAAACUCAGAUACAGAGCUCUCAGCUUCAAGAGGAUUGAAACACAGCAGGAAAUGAAAGAGGAAAUAUUAAGUUCAGGCUCAUCGUUUGAAGUCGUUUCAGGUACUCCGAGUGAGGAGAGGGAACAAAAGUUUGGAGACGCUUCCAAAAGUCCCAGCGGGGGAGGAUGAAAGGGGAGCAGGAGUUUGUAUGAAAAGGGGGAAAUAAUGGGGGAUCUGCUUUUCUUCACUUCAGCUUGAUUUAACAUUCAGUUUGAUAUCAGAUGAGUGUUUAAGUUUGCCUGAACGAGCUGCAGCUGCACUGGUGCCGUGUGGCGCUCCUCAGCCUGAAUGCAUGUUAGUGGAGGGAUAUUUUAAAACGUACAAAGAGACUCAACCCUCAGAGGGAGAGCCACUCUGACAGGAUGGGUUAUUAUUAAAUUAUGAAGCAGAAAUAGACCACAAACAGGUGAAAUAUAGGGUGAUGUGAGUGAGAGGCUGACAGAGGACUGGACAUGUCUUUGUUCACGUCUGAGGACUGUCAAUCCCUGGAUUAUUCUUCCUUCUUGUGGAUUCUAACUCCACAUUUUAGGUGAAGAAGUCACCUUUAUUGGGAGGAAGGUUAGACAUUUGGUGACUCAGGCAUCUGGCUCUUUUAGUCACAUGAGUUCUUUGUAUGGUGAGCAUUGUAUCACCUUUGAUUUGUUCUUGAUGCAUUCUGUUAAUGAAGCGUC
Molecule: long non-coding RNA, 1329 nt
Organism: Notolabrus celidotus (New Zealand spotty)
Lineage: Eukaryota; Metazoa; Chordata; Actinopteri; Labriformes; Labridae
Exons: 5
Source: RefSeq, a predicted model, not a curated record